Molecule: long non-coding RNA, 2832 nt
Organism: Hippoglossus stenolepis (Pacific halibut)
Lineage: Eukaryota; Metazoa; Chordata; Actinopteri; Pleuronectiformes; Pleuronectidae
Exons: 2
Source: RefSeq, a predicted model, not a curated record
CGUACUACACCAGUCCCCCGGCCCCCAAAAAACCCACCCCUCCUUGGCUCCCCUUGUUUAGCAUUGGGCUGCAGUUCCUUUCUCUCUCAACACAACGUGGAAAUGAGAUACCUGCCAGAGUCUCGCCAUAUUCUCAUUCAGAGCCAUGUUUCAUACAUGUCGUUAAAAAGUAAUAUAUUGUAAUCUUAACUCUGAAGAAUCUCUUGCUUAAGAGGUUUCUAAAAUUCCAACAAGACGUUAAAGCAGGAUCGUAUUAUUCAUUUCAUAUCUUGGUAUUUCACAAGAUUAAAUCUUUGGUGUUUGAGAGUGGAGCUUUGUGGGAUUUGGCAGACUCUGUUGGUAAAUGAGCAGUCUCCUGUGGUAUUUCCCUCUGUUUAUUCUACUCCUUUAAGCUGCUGCCCUCUCUGUCUCCCUCUUCCACACUGACCAUUGCCCUGUAGUAACAUUCAAACCUCAUACUUCACUAUAAACCACAGACUAUUUAUUAGAGAUUAUUAUUUUAUGAGAAUGCAGCCGUGGUGGCAGAUCUGCUCAACGAACAGAUACUGCUUAGUUUUUUCCAAUGCAACACUGAAGCCAGUGUCCUCUCUGUACUUUUCAGUGAAAAUGUUCCAGAACAAUGUAUCAUGCUAUUCAAGAGUUCAUGGAGUGUUGUUGCACUGUGGCCAUGCAGUAUUGUGAUUGAUGUAUUUAUUAAUAGCGUGGCAUUGGUUUGUGUGCAAAUAUAAUGUAUUUAAGUGUUUGAGCAUGCAAUUCCAUGGAGUUUUGACAGUGUUGUCACCUUCAUUAUCAUAACAGGUCAAUAUACUUGUACCUGUGGCAAAAUCUGCUUAGAUAUACGCUACUGUUUAUCUGUGUGGCCAGUCAUAGUAUUCUUUAAGCAAACAAAUAAUCUCUAAAUUAUUCCUACUUGAAACACUGUCAGUCAUAUGUAUAUUAUCACCUCAUAAAUCUCAUGAGAGCAGUUUUAGUAUGUAAAAUAUUGUAAUAUUUGGUUUAAACCAAUGAAUAUAGUGAAUAUAGUUGAUUUAGUUUAUUACUGGUUUUAGACCAUGGCUAAAUCAGCAAACUCUCCCAAGAUUAGCUGUUACGCUACAACCGCUCCCCACCUCCAGCAGCUCCCUGUGACGACUCUGUCAAAGAUGUCCCUCUGACACGCCUCCCUAUGUAAAGUCCAGAAUAAGCACCGGAGCCACUUUUGAAACCAAGACGGCAGUAGAGGGGCACUAGAGCAGUGCCCUCCACCUCUGCACCAAGUGAAGACAGUGUUAUUGUUGCACUUAUUAGCUUUUUGUGUUAUUCAAAAUGUAAAGUGGUAAACGAGUGAGCGGUCAGAUGCAGUACACAAGCAAGAGUAUCAUGACACAGAGUCUGGUUUCCAUUACUCCACGUCUUUACAUUUUUGGAACCUUCUGAAUAUUAAUGUGUUCUGUGGUAUUGUUUCUCGAUGAAUGUACUCUUAUUGUUUGUUAUUUUCUUGACUCGUGCUGAAGAAAUGCCCUUUGUUCGAGAGACUCUCCUUUUUAUACUCUGCAAAGUAGCUUUGUGCCUUCUAGAGAGUUGAGAGGAGAGAAGUGUGUGACCUGUUACAAAAAGUACCAUGUGAAAAAUAGAGUAAACAAUACUGUUCAGCCAGUAUGACACAGAUAAGAUUCCCGAAGGAAGACUAUUACCAUCAGAAAAUACACAUGUCAAGACAAGAGCAAAGCAAGAGGAUUGAAAGUUCAUGUGAUUUUAUUCAAAAUCAAAGUGGCAUAUUUUAAGCAGUCAAAUUACUUUAACUUUGACCUCUGUUUACUUUAAAACUUGACAUUUGUGAUAUAAAAACCAAACAAAAUGUAACUAUUCUAAGACCUAAAUUUGGUUUUGGCUCUGUAGUUGGAAUUAAAAACUGACUGCUGAGUCACAUUUAGCCAUUAGAUGGCACUAUUGAACACACAAUUACCAUAAACAGGUGACUUCCAUGUGGAUAUACUGGUAAUGUCUUAUAUUUACACAGCAAUGCAUAUCAUUGUAACUAGAACAAUGUUGAUGUUAGCCAUGUUGUCAUAAUUAGAUUUUACAACUGCUAUAAACACUGACACCUGGAUCUCAGGGUUAUUUACUCUCCUCACAACAAACAUAAGGUUAUGGUUCAUUUUAACUCAAAGACCAAGAGACUGUGCUACAGGUUCCUGAAGGGAUUGUUUUUAUCCUUAAAGCAAAUGUCAAAUCAUCAAUUAAACUAAAUUUUCUAUCAUUCCACUUUUCAUUACCCACAAAUUGUAGAUGUGUAGAUGAUGUGAUUGAUGAUAGAAUCAACCACUUAUCACUUAUCCAAACAUCAGAGAUCACUCAAGGCUCUGGUACUUCCUAAUUAAACGUGAUUCACCAUGUUCAAUAUUUACAGUUCUUCUUGAACAUCCUCCUCAGUGUAUCAGAUAUUUGUGAUGUCACACGGUUUCAUCUUUUCAGCCGAGCGCUUACAGAAUAUGGUGUUGUUGUGGUAUAUUGGCAUACAGUUGUCUCAGGUUUUACUUAAAGUCCAACUUUUAUCACAGAUAUUCAAUUUGUGCAUUUUUAUUAUUAAAAGCCAUAUUAUUCUGCCAGAUAUUAAAGCGCUGGUGCUCAAACUGCUCUAAAACAAUAUUUAGAAAAAGAGGAGUGGUGAUAGAUCAUUUUUAAGCCAUUUAAUGAACAAUACAGUGAAUGUGCUGUUUAUUUAUUCUUCAAAUAAAGACCCAGAAGCACUUGGUGACUGGUUUUUAUGCCUGUGAAAGAGACAGACUAGUGUGUUGUACAUCUGUUUGACUUUUGUUCAUUAGGUCAAUGAAUAAAUGAAAUUACACCAGU